UGGGGAAUUUUGGACAAUGGGCGAAAGCCUGAUCCAGCAAUGCCGCGUGUGUGAAGAAGGCCCUCGGGUUGUAAAGCACUUUUGUCCGGAAAGAAAUCCUUGGCUCUAAUACAGUCGGGGGAUGACGGUACCGGAAGAAUAAGCACCGGCUAACUACGUGCCAGCAGCCGCGGUAAUACGUAGGGUGCAAGCGUUAAUCGGAAUUACUGGGCGUAAAGCGUGCGCAGGCGGUUUGCUAAGACCGAUGUGAAAUCCCCGGGCUCAACCUGGGAACUGCAUUGGUGACUGGCAGGCUAGAGUAUGGCAGAGGGGGGUAGAAUUCCACGUGUAGCAGUGAAAUGCGUAGAGAUGUGGAGGAAUACCGAUGGCGAAGGCAGCCCCCUGGGCCAAUACUGACGCUCAUGCACGAAAGCGUGGGGAGCAAACAGGAUUAGAUACCCUGGUAGUCCACGCCCUAAAACGAUGUCAACUAGUUGUUGGGGAUUCAUUUCCUUAGUAACGUAGCUAACGCGUGAAGUUGACCGCCUGGGGAGUACGGUCGCAAGAUUAAAACUUAAAUGAAUUG
This 565-nucleotide ribosomal RNA is filed under the name uncultured bacterium. RNAcentral's name for it is "partial 16S ribosomal RNA". It matches the Rfam family "Bacterial small subunit ribosomal RNA", at positions 355 to 912 of the family's 1533-position model. The record is from RNAcentral.